UACGUAGGGUGCAAGCGUUGUCCGGAAUUAUUGGGCGUAAAGAGCUCGUAGGCGGCUCGGUAAGUCGGGUGUGAAACCUCCAGGCUCAACCUGGAGACGCCACUCGAUACUGCCGUGGCUAGAGUCCGGUAGAGGAGCGUAGAAUUCCUGGUGUAGCGGUGAAAUGCGCAGAUAUCAGGAGGAAUACCAGCGGCGAAGGCGGCGCUCUGGGCCGGUACUGACGCUGAGGCGCGAGAGCGUGGGGAGCGAACUGG
Molecule: ribosomal RNA, 254 nt
Filed under: uncultured bacterium
Lineage: Bacteria
Description: partial 16S ribosomal RNA
Rfam family: Bacterial small subunit ribosomal RNA
Source: RNAcentral